GAUGAACGCUGGCGGCGUGCCUAAUACAUGCAAGUCGAGCGAACAGACGAGGAGCUUUCUCCUCUGACGUUAGCGGCGGACGGGUGAGUAACACGUGGAUAACCUACCUAUAAGACUGGGAUAACUUCGGGAAACCGGAGCUAAUACCGGAUAAUAUAUUGAACCGCAUGGUUCAAUAGUUAAAGACGGUUUUGCUGUCACUUAUAGCUGGAUCCGCGCCGCAUUAGCUAGUUGGUAAGGUAACGGCUUACCAAGGAAACGAUGCGUAGCCGACCUGAGAGGGUGAUCGGCCACACUGGAACUGAGACACGGUCCAGACUCCUACGGGAGGCAGCAGUAGGGAAUCUUCCGCAAUGGGCGAAAGCCUGACGGAGCAACGCCGCGUGAGUGAUGAAGGUCUUCGGAUCGUAAAACUCUGUUAUUAGGGAAGAACAAAUGUGUAAGUAACUAUGCACGUCUUGACGGUACCUAAUCAGAAAGCCACGGCUAACUACGUG
This 497-nucleotide ribosomal RNA is filed under the name uncultured bacterium. RNAcentral describes it as "partial 16S ribosomal RNA". It matches the Rfam family "Bacterial small subunit ribosomal RNA", at positions 28 to 507 of the family's 1533-position model. The record is from RNAcentral.